GUGAACGCUGGCGGUAGGCCUAACACAUGCACGUCGAACGGCAGCACAGUAAGAGCUUGCUCUUACGGGUGGCGAGUGGCGGACGGGUGAGGAAUACAUCGGAAUCUACUUUUUCGUGGGGGAUAAUGUAGGGAAACUUACGCUAAUACCGCAUACGACCUACGGGUGAAAGCAGGGGAUCUUCGGACCUUGCGCGAUUGAAUGAGCCGAUGUCGGAUUAGCUAGUUGGCGGGGUAAAGGCCCACCAAGGCGACGAUCCGUAGCUGGUCUGAGAGGAUGAUCAGCCACACUGGAACUGAGACACGGUCCAGACUCCUACGGGAGGCGGCAGUGGGGAAUAUUGGACAAUGGGCGCAAGCCUGAUCCAGCCAUACCGCGUGGGUGAAGAAGGCCUUCGGGUUGUAAAGCCCUUUUGUUGGGAAAGAAAAGCAGCAGGUUAAUACCCCGCUGUUCUGACGGUACCCAAAGAAUAAGCACCGGCUAACUUCGUG
Molecule: ribosomal RNA, 491 nt
Filed under: uncultured bacterium
Lineage: Bacteria
Description: partial 16S ribosomal RNA
Rfam family: Bacterial small subunit ribosomal RNA
Source: RNAcentral